AAUACCACAAACACAAGAGAUGCUUUGUAAUUUUCAAACGGACGUCUUACCACGUAGCACGUUACGCUGAGUCAGAGGAAGAGGACGAAUCUAUGAACCGUUUGAAUCAAACGUAACUAGAAAAAAGAUCAUUUGGAUUUGGAACAUCAAAUAAGGAGAAGAUCGACAGGGCUGAGAUUCCAGAUCCUGACAGGCUGGCCAGACUCUCUCCUCUCUGCAGGGAGGUUCACUUGAAGGCAGUGAAGACCAACAAAUUUGGUUCUCCAGGAAUCUCUUGGAAAUUGCUGCUGUACCUUGAACAUGAUCAAAAAGAUAAUUCUUAAGUUCAAACAGGGACAUGGAACAUUAGUCAUCAAAGAUGAAGAGCUACUGCUGCUAUUGUUUAAAUUAGAGAAUUUCCCAACUGCUUUGUUUGAUUAUCCAUGAGAGGAGAGAAGGAUCUUGUCAAGUGAUCACGUGCAGCCUGAAACUGGAACAUACUUGACAAAUUACCCUGAAAAACAAAACAAAAUCUGUUGUCAUGUACAACGAAAAACUUUGCCACAGUCCAUAGACUAAUUGUUUAUAUUUCCUCAGCUUUUAGUCCAAAUAUGCUCCAAGAUAGGUUAAAGGACCAUUCUUUUCUCACCACUGUGACAAAUUUACACCAAAACACUUCCGAUUAACUUCAACAGAUGAUUUUGAUCAGCACAAUCAAGCCAUUUUCCUUCAUUUCUGUCUUUGAGGUUAAUGUGAUCAAGGCGGAUAUACAGACAGGCGCAUGGGAAAGUAUUGUAACAACAGAAUGUUUGAGGCUACUUGUAAAUGUUUGAGGAAAUGUAAACACAGCAAUGCACGUAAUUCACACACUGGGACAAAUAUUGACUAACACUAAACUCCCACACGCUCAUAAAGCUGAAGUGGAAACUGUUGGCUGAUUCCAUUCCAUUUUUUUUUUCGGUUUACAUCUAUAAAAAUAUAAGGAUAUAGGAUUAGACUGUUUCAUUACUUCAUUGUAACACAUUGUAAUGGUUUGGCGUGGACUUUAGCAUGUUUGCUAUACAAAGUUAAAGGCCUUUAAUGACAUGAAACAGCUGUCAAUUGGACCUAGUGUAAACACAAACACAACUUAGAACAAACGCAGCUCAGUCCGAUACAGUGAUGGGAAUAAUCGCCGCACGCUACGUACUAAUAGCCUGAACCUCAAAGGCAUUUUUGUUUCCCAGAACCGUUCGGCAUGGCUACAAAUCCCUGUAGAGUGGCAAACAUCUAAUGUGAAAAGUGCAGAAUAAGCUACUGAAUGUUAGAAUGCUGUGAAAAGAGGCAGAACACACAUGGAAAGCUGACCUCCCUCUGCUUGCAGACGUGUGUGAUUUAUGAAUAUAGCCUAGAUGCGGAUAGGUUAUUAUUGCUGCUCCAGGAUAACACAGCCUGUAACUGUGUUGUAAAAUCUCUUGCAGGAGACACUGCUCCCAGUGUUUUGUAUUCAUUACUUACCACACAAAUUACUCAAUAACUUGAAUAAAAAACAUAAGUAGUCAAAAAAUGUGAUGCAGCAAGAAUAACCGACAUACUGUUCGAAAGUUUGAGGUCUGUAUGAUUUUUGAAUGUUUGGAAUUCAGUCUCUUAUGCUCACCAAGGCUGCAUUUAUUAGAUCAUUUUUUUUUCUUAUCAAUGUUGAAAACUAUGCGCUACUUAAUGUUUGUGGAAACAUGAUAUAUAAUGUUUCAGGAUUCUUUAAAUAGAAAGUGAUUACUGUCACUUUUGAUCAAUUUAAUGCAUCCUUGCAGAGUAAAAGUAUUAGAUUCAUUCAAAAUAAAAUAUUACAGACCUCAAAAUUGUUACAAGUAGUGUACAUUAUCUACAACGUCCAAUAAAAGCAUUACAUUUUAGGGCUGUAUGCCUUAUGAACUGCUUGUAUCUAAUUAGCAGCAAAGCCCAAUCUUUGUUAUUGACUUAAGAGACUGACUUAAGAUCAUGAAAUUUAAACACCAACAAAUCCUUGUCCUUUGACUCUCUACUGCUGCCUCUAUCCAUUAACAUAAGGAAUUAUAAAAACAUUCAAAGCAUGAGUGGAACGAAGGGAAUCCUCUUGGCAGCAAAAGAGCAAUGUGUGGCUGAAUACAAAGCAUAUGUGUUAAACAUGUCUGGAAAGAAAAAUUACAGCAGGAGAAUAGUUUAGAAACAUAAACCAAAAAAAUACAAACAAUGUACCUUUUUGUAAAAUUGUGAAUGAUUUGGGCAUGAUUGUGAAUGAAUUACAUCCGUACUAUACUUAGGUUAAUGCUGCUCUAGCCAGACUGGCCUUUCUGGGCCUUUUACAUACUGAAACAUUAAGGUGAAAUGAUUCUAAACUGUCUGAAACAGUAUCCAGUUCACCUCUCUGAAGGUCAGACUUCAAAUUCCUCCUGAAGCUGAGCUCUCCCCCUUUCAAGAAGACCGUUCAAGAAGGGCUACACAAAAAACUCAUAAACUGGGUGCAAGGGCAUAGAUAUAACAUGAUGUGUGCAAAUAAAGACUUUAUAGUAAAAUGAGUAAACAAAAAAAAUUAAAAAUUAAUUACGAUAAAAAGUCUGUAAUAUUCCUAACCCGGAAGAUACGCCAUUUCUAUUUUUGAUGAUUAUUUACCAUAUUACUGAAAUAUACAUUUAAACUAUUUUAGCUACUUUUAGUGGAAUUAUUCUAGGUGACCUGAUCUCUAAGUAAAUGUAUGCAUAAGUUGUGCUGGAUGCAUGCAUAAUCUUGUUGAUCCUCUUCUCUUCCCACACAUAUGGCUGAAAAUAUAAUGAAUGCUCCUCGAUGUCUCUUCAUCUCCAGUACAUGGACAAGAGAUCUGUCACAACAGAGAGCAAACACUGUAAACACAAAUGCCACAGUAACAAACAAAUAUAAGCCAUUUCUAAAACUGAACCCUCUCUAAUAGUAAGGGGGUGAUGAAGCAUGAACAUGGAGAUAAAACAGGUUGGAAAAUAUUUGGAAAAUAUAAACACUUCUCCUUAAAUGCUUAGCCAGAAACAACACUGUCAUCAAAAGAGAUUCCACACAGUAGGAAAGAUCCACAUGGCAAAUCCACGUUUAGAACUCUUUUACCAGAGUUCUCACCAGCUGGAAAACUCCCAUGAGAUGCCACUAAUGUGUGUUGUUUGAUAAAGUAUAGGGAUCAAGAAGACUGUAUUGAGGAGCAAACAGUCUUCCAUAAAUUUGCUCUCUUUCAAGUGCUGUUUUGGAAUUCCAUCAAUCCAUGCACCCAUCCUCAUCAUCUUCGUUCUCAAUGUGCCACAGUGUUGGGGAAACUCCACUACAAAGAGUUCCUGUGGGUGUCUCGGAGGAUCUCAGUGACUCAGUAACACAAAUUCUCAUUUCAAAACCAUCCCACCAGCUGUGGGCCAACAGAAUGUGAAGUAAACAGGAUGACUACUGAUGCACAAAUAUUUCAGAACAAUGGAAAAAUUACAAUAAUUUUUUUUUUUUUUCAGAAUUGUAUUCUCUUAAUGGGUAGUUUUUUCUUUAAUAAUCAUUUAAUAAAAAAGUAAUCUUUUUUUUACAUUAUUGUUUACUUUUUACAAUAAGGUAACUA
This is a long non-coding RNA of Cyprinus carpio (common carp), 3556 nucleotides long. RefSeq lists it as uncharacterized. NCBI's taxonomy places the organism in Eukaryota, Metazoa, Chordata, Actinopteri, Cypriniformes, Cyprinidae. The transcript is spliced from 5 exons. The record is from RefSeq and is a predicted model, not a curated record.